AGGCAGGACAGCAGGGAGGGAUUUACAAGCUAGAGCAAGCUGCAGGUAGGAAGUGCGCCUGAUGUUUGUGAGGGUACGAGAGGACUACAGUGCACAAUACGUCAACUCCGUCAUUGCCAUUUCAUUAUCAGAAAUCAGUAGCGUCUCCGAGUAUGAGGAGUCUGAUGGCGUCGGGGAAGAAAUGGCUACACAUUCUGGCCGUGAGGGCCCGAAUGCCUCGUACCUUUUUCCAGACAGCAGGAGGGUGAACAACGUGUGUGAAGGGUGUGUAGGAUCAUCCACAAUGCUGGAGGCUUUGCAGAUACAGCAUGUGGUGUAAAUGUCUAUGAUGGAGGAAAAAAGAGACCCUGAUGAUCUUCUCAGCUGUCCUCACUAUCCUCUGCAGGGUCUUGCUGAUCCGUGUGUGUAUGACAUCAUUAACAACAUGGCCUCAAAAAAACAUCCCAAAACUGGUGCAGUAGUCCAUUGCUUGAAACGAGCCCGUUAAAGUGUGAGAUCUUGAUGGGCUCUGCAGCACCUGCCCCUAUGAACGAGCCACCGCUGCUAAACCGAAGAAUUAAACAGAGUUCGGCUACACCAACAUUCAACAGCUUUUCCCAAGCCGCAACUCGUAUUUCAUUUAAGCAUUUUUCUGCACUUUUUCCACCUCGAGUGUGCUUUAUUGGAAGUAUUGCAGUCAUCAGAUUAUUUUGGACAUUACUGUGGAACAAAUUUACUUGUGAAGGUCUCUGAGGUUGAUCUUGAACAAAUGAAGCGUAUAAAUUUUUUUUUUUUUUUUUUUUUUUUUUUAAAUCACAUUUUGCUGGCUUUUACUUGACAUGAAAAUCCUUUCCCUGUUCCAAAGUAACAGAAUUUUAGCGCCGGUUUCAUCAAAAUUCUAUUACGAUUAGAAAUACGAUGAGGUCAGAUGGAAAGGACAGUAGUUAAAAAUAAUUAACAUACAUAGAGAUAGAUGCUCUGUUUGCUUUGGAACAACUAUUUGGAAUCAGAUAGAGUAUCACCAUUAAAGGGCUUCCAGUGUCACCGUGUGGUAAAUAUUUACAGUGGGAUGGAAGGAACGUGGAUGUUAAACGGAGGCCCGAAGCUGAGCGAAAUGACGUGCCUUAUACGCACAGGCUGCUUGAGAUUUAACAUUCGGGGAGAGGUUAUUUUUACCCGUUAAUAAAAAUAAUAAACAGGCCCCAGCAUGUAGCUGGUGUCUCAAUAGCGAGCUGUUGUAUCCCAUCAGGCAUUGCUCCGUGUUUGGAAUGCUGAGAGCAGGAAGUGAUUGUGGUCGCUGUGGUUAUGGGAGAGUGAAGGCGAUAGCGCUGCAGAACAUGCCAUUCAGAUAUUUAUUUUUAUUAUGGAUUUUACCCAGAAUACCCUCUAAAUGAGAUCUUCAAAUUAUAGAUUGUGAUACAAAUGUUGCGUUUCAUCAUGUAUCGGUGUUUACAGUGUCCACACGGGCGAACAUUUCAUCAGCAAAGAAAUUUGGGAAGGAAGUUUGCCACAAAAAUUAUUUCAUGAAAAACUCCAGUAAUUAAUAAUAACUGAGGACAGAACUGUUAACCUUUAAAUCUGUGUCUCCGUCUCGCUC
Long non-coding RNA from Ictalurus punctatus (channel catfish), 1576 nucleotides. Lineage: Eukaryota; Metazoa; Chordata; Actinopteri; Siluriformes; Ictaluridae. The record is from Ensembl.